AGAGUUUGAUCAUGGCUCAGAGCGAACGCUGGCGGCAGGCUUAACACAUGCAAGUCGAGCGGGCGUAGCAAUACGUCAGCGGCAGACGGGUGAGUAACGCGUGGGAACGUACCUUUUGGUUCGGAACAACACAGGGAAACUUGUGCUAAUACCGGAUAAGCCCUUACGGGGAAAGAUUUAUCGCCGAAAGAUCGGCCCGCGUCUGAUUAGCUAGUUGGUGAGGUAAUGGCUCACCAAGGCGACGAUCAGUAGCUGGUCUGAGAGGAUGAUCAGCCACAUUGGGACUGAGACACGGCCCAAACUCCUACGGGAGGCAGCAGUGGGGAAUAUUGGACAAUGGGGGCAACCCUGAUCCAGCCAUGCCGCGUGAGUGAUGAAGGCCCUAGGGUUGUAAAGCUCUUUUGUGCGGGAAGAUAAUGACGGUACCGCAAGAAUAAGCCCCGGCUAACUUCGUGCCAGCAGCCGCGGUAAUACGAAGGGGGCUAGCGUUGCUCGGAAUCACUGGGCGUAAAGGGUGCGUAGGCGGGUCUUUAAGUCAGGGGUGAAAUCCUGGAGCUCAACUCCAGAACUGCCUUUGAUACUGAGGAUCUUGAGUUCGGGAGAGGUGAGUGGAACUGCGAGUGUAGAGGUGAAAUUCGUAGAUAUUCGCAAGAACACCAGUGGCGAAGGCGGCUCACUGGCCCGAUACUGACGCUGAGGCACGAAAGCGUGGGGAGCAAACAGGAUUAGAUACCCUAGUAGUCC
Molecule: ribosomal RNA, 744 nt
Filed under: uncultured bacterium
Lineage: Bacteria
Description: bacterial SSU rRNA
Rfam family: Bacterial small subunit ribosomal RNA
Source: RNAcentral